Molecule: long non-coding RNA, 581 nt
Organism: Atta colombica
Lineage: Eukaryota; Metazoa; Arthropoda; Insecta; Hymenoptera; Formicidae
Exons: 4
Source: RefSeq, a predicted model, not a curated record
UGUUGAUUUUUGCAACUUGAUGAAAAUGAUGCCAAAGAAAGGACUAAAGGAUUUUUUCCUAGGAAUGAAAUUAAAAUUUUGGAAAAAACAUAUUGAAUGGAAAGAAGACAUAUUUUUAUCUACAAAUAACGAAAUAGAAGAACAAGACGAAUCAAUUAAAGUGAAGUCUAAAUUUUCGAUUUUAUUUGAAGAAGAGGACGUUUCUGAGGAUUCAGAUUACAUUAAUAUAUGUAAACACUGAGAUCACGGAGCAUAAAAAUCACAUCCGAUGGAACACCUCUAUUCGUAAUGUCAUAACGGAGUAUCGAUUCCAAGAGAGCUAUGAUUUCGAUUGAGACAACGUUAGAUUACUAGAUGAGGAGUCUCAUAAGAAGAAAUUGAGAUGAUACCAUAUUCAUCAGGAGACAGAGGCACGGACUCAACUUGCAGACGGAUAUAGAGAGGCUUCCUAAGGCCUAUCUCUCGAUCGUAGACAAGCUAUAAAGAAUGACUAUUCCGUUGCCCCAAAAGAAGAGGGAAGUAAUCAAUCUCUUGCUAGAGGAAAACUUUUUGAUAGAGCAAGAAAUCUGAAAGAAUGAAUG